GGGGUUGUGGGGCAGUGGUCGACCAUCUGCUUGGAAUGCAGCGAGUUCCAGGUUCAAUCCUUGGCAUCUCCA
RNAcentral lists this transfer RNA (72 nucleotides) under Sphaerodactylus townsendi. RNAcentral's name for it is "tRNA-Ser". It matches the Rfam family "tRNA". From Rfam's summary of the family: Transfer RNA (tRNA) molecules are approximately 80 nucleotides in length. Their secondary structure includes four short double-helical elements and three loops (D, anti-codon, and T loops). Further hydrogen bonds mediate the characteristic L-shaped molecular structure. tRNAs have two regions of fundamental functional importance: the anti-codon, which is responsible for specific mRNA codon recognition, and the 3' end, to which the tRNAs corresponding amino acid is attached (by aminoacyl-tRNA synthetases). tRNAs cope with the degeneracy of the genetic code in two manners: having more than one tRNA (with a specific anti-codon) for a particular amino acid; and 'wobble' base-pairing, i.e. permitting non-standard base-pairing at the 3rd anti-codon position. Lineage: Eukaryota; Metazoa; Chordata; Lepidosauria; Squamata; Sphaerodactylidae. The record is from RNAcentral.